GCAGACACAUUCCAGCCAAUCAGCAGCAGACCCUCCCUCCCAGACCCUCCCACCUCCUGGACAGCUCACUAAGAAUGCAGCUUCACAAUGAAUGUAAAAUGGAUGCUGUCCAGGAGGUUGGAGGGUCUUGGAGGGAGGGUCUGCUGCAGAUUGGCUUGAAUGUGUCU
RNAcentral lists this microRNA precursor (167 nucleotides) under Pelobates cultripes (western spadefoot toad). The record is from RNAcentral. Lineage: Eukaryota; Metazoa; Chordata; Amphibia; Anura; Pelobatidae.